RNAcentral lists this ribosomal RNA (497 nucleotides) under uncultured bacterium. Its description in RNAcentral is "partial 16S ribosomal RNA". It matches the Rfam family "Bacterial small subunit ribosomal RNA", at positions 28 to 507 of the family's 1533-position model. The record is from RNAcentral.
GAUGAACGCUGGCGGCGUGCCUAAUACAUGCAAGUCGAGCGAACAGACGAGGAGCUUGCUCCUCUGACGUUAGCGGCGGACGGGUGAGUAACACGUGGAUAACCUACCUAUAAGACUGGGAUAACUUCGGGAAACCGGAGCUAAUACCGGAUAAUAUAUUUAACCGCAUGGUUCAAUAGUGAAAGACGGUUUUGCUGUCACUUAUAGAUGGAUCCGCGCCGCAUUAGCUAGUUGGUAAGGUAACGGCUUACCAAGGCAACGAUGCGUAGCCGACCUGAGAGGGUGAUCGGCCACACUGGAACUGAGACACGGUCCAGACUCCUACGGGAGGCAGCAGUAGGGAAUCUUCCGCAAUGGGCGAAAGCCUGACGGAGCAACGCCGCGUGAGUGAUGAAGGUCUUCGGAUCGUAAAACUCUGUUAUUAGGGAAGGACAAAUGUGUAAGUAACUAUGCACGUCUUGACGGUACCUAAUCAGAAAGCCACGGCUAACUACGUG